This 506-nucleotide ribosomal RNA is filed under the name uncultured bacterium. RNAcentral describes it as "partial 16S ribosomal RNA". It matches the Rfam family "Bacterial small subunit ribosomal RNA", at positions 28 to 523 of the family's 1533-position model. The record is from RNAcentral.
GAUGAACGCUAGCUACAGGCUUAACACAUGCAAGUCGAGGGGUAACGAGAGGAAAGCUUGCUUUCCUUGUCGACGACUGGCGCACGGGUGAGUAACGCGUAUCCAACCUGCCCCCAACUAGGGAAUAACCUUGCGAAAGUAAGACUAAUACCCUAUAAUUUCCUCAGAAGCCAUCUGAAGAGGAAUAAAGAUUUAUCGGUUGUGGAUGGGGAUGCGUCGGAUUAGCUUGUUGGCGGGGUAACGGCUCACCAAGGCAACGAUCAGUAGGGGGUCUAGGAGGAAGGUCCCCCACAUCGGAGCGGAGAGACGGUCCACACUCCUACGGACGGCAGCAGUGAGUAAUAUUAGUCAAUGGGCGAAAGCUUCAACCAGCCAAGUAGCGUGCAGAAUGACGGCCCUAUUGGUUGUAAACUGCUUUGAUACAGGAAUAAAUUUAGCCACGUGUGGUUAUUUGUAGGUACUGUAUGAAUAAGGACCGGCUAAUUCCGUGCCAGCCGCCGCGGUAA